UCGCGUUUUCCCAGAAUACAUCAGUAUCCGCCCGUCCGGAAAUUCUCUGUGAAACUGGUCGUACAAUGCUGACUCCUGGGGAAUUUUUUCCGUUUUCGGGUGUAACAGUUUCAUUCCACUCGUAACCAGGUAAGACUAUAUGUGAGACAAUACAGAUGCCGCCGCAGGUAAGACAUACAAAGACAAGUUCCGGUGGUUGGUCUACAUCUAGUUGCGUGGAAUGACACCAGGAGCUACACAACGAAAGAAAAAAGAUUUAUACUGAGAUGAAAAUCAUGACAGUUUCACUCAUUGAUCUUUGAUGGAAUAUUCUGACGUCAUUGUGGUUAUAAAUUAAGACGUAUGACACGGUUCUGAAAAUCAACUAGCUACUUGCUGUGAUUCAUUCACUAUAAUAUUCGUCGGUCCCAGUAUAUUCAUUCUUUGAGGAUUUUGUUGAAACGAACAGAUAAAGACUUCCUUGUCCUGUUUUUGCCAAACAAGGAUUGCAAUGCGUCAUGAUUCAUAGAAGAAAUACAAAUUCUGCCAAUGUUUUAUAAACAUCCUGUAUCGCCAAAUGUCGUGCGAAUCAAACAACCAUUGUGUUAAAAAUUGACCUUUCAAAUUCAAAGAGUUGUCACUGCCAAGCAAUUUCAAAGAUCAAAAACUGUUUUACCAAAUGGAGCUAUACUUGGAAAAUUGUUCAUUUUUUCUGUAGUUUAUGCCCUGGAAGAUCUCUGGUAGAACUUUGGUAUUUGGCUAUAACUUUCAAACCGUAGUGAGUAACGUCUACAAGUAUGGCAUGCAUAUUUUACAAUCAACGCUCUUUGAAAAGUAUUUAUAUCAAAGAAUUGUGUUCUUCCAUUUGUCUUUAACAAGUGUACUGUAUUGUUACCGAUUGUCAUCUUUUGUCCACGAUCUUACCUUUCUGUGCAAAUAGCAAAUCAGACCUGUAAUCAUUUGAGUUUAUAAUAAAAAUAUUAUUUUUUU
Molecule: long non-coding RNA, 969 nt
Organism: Magallana angulata
Lineage: Eukaryota; Metazoa; Mollusca; Bivalvia; Ostreida; Ostreidae
Exons: 4
Source: RefSeq, a predicted model, not a curated record